CUGGAAUUACUAGAUUUUAUUUUUCCCCAGAACUCUUAAACUUCAGCUUCACCAAGUAACAGGCUGACUUUUGGAAUAACAACUCUUUCCCAGGCUGUUGUUAACUCUUUCCAAGAGACAGAAUUUAUUAAAAAACAUGGUUCCAGGAUAUUUCCACCCCAGAAUUCUAAAUCAGUCACAGAAUCAUACCUUCUUAGGUCUUGAUUAGAAUGAAACAAUCUAUAGACACACGUAACAGAAUCAAAAUAUUAUCUCUCAUUCGUGACUCACUCAGAAUAAGGAAUUCCUUAUUCAAAAAACAAUGUAAGUAUUCCGAGCUAACUGUUCUCAGCCAUGAACAAAUUAAACUUGGCCAGGUGUGGUGGCUCAUGCCUGUAAUCUCGGCACUGUGGAAGUCAAGGUGGGAGGACUGCUUAAGCCCAGGAGUUUGAGACCAGGCUGAGCAACCAAUGAGACCCCCUCCCCGGCCAAAAAAAAAAAAAAAAAGCCAGUCCCAGCUACUUGGGAGGCUAAGGUGGGAAGAUUGCUUGAGGCCCGGGAGAACAGGGAUUCAGUGAGCUGUGAUUGCACUACUGCCCUCCAGCUUGUGCAACAGAGCAAGACCCUGUCUUAAGAAAACAAAUUAAACUUAUUUUACUCUAUAUUUGACUUUGCUUUAAUCAAUAUCUUCUAUUUGCAAAAGCCAAACCCUAUUUUUAAAACUCCUUACAAUUUCCAUUAUGACUUGGAAAGGAAGAUGGAGGGAAUGGGGAAGAGUUGGCUUGUUUUGUGGAAGGAGAUUCUGAAAAGGGCAGUUAUUUACUUUGAAGUCAUAAAGUAGAAAAACAAAUGUUCUUUUUUUUGAUAAUGAAAACCCUUGUAGGUAAAGACCAGAAAAUUCUGGUCCUGAAAUUAUAACAUAUUACAAUAUUGUUUUUAAUAUAUGCAGAAUUUAUA
RNAcentral lists this long non-coding RNA (936 nucleotides) under Homo sapiens (human). RNAcentral describes it as "HSALNT0073434". Lineage: Eukaryota; Metazoa; Chordata; Mammalia; Primates; Hominidae. The record is from RNAcentral.